This 408-nucleotide long non-coding RNA is filed under the name Gossypium raimondii (Peruvian cotton). RNAcentral describes it as "long non-coding RNA (GRAI_LNC004540)". Lineage: Eukaryota; Viridiplantae; Streptophyta; Magnoliopsida; Malvales; Malvaceae. The record is from RNAcentral.
GAAAAUUUCAGAAUUUUCGGCGCACAAGCCCAUGUGGCCGACACGGCCCAAAUGGCCAGCUUGUAUGGCCCACACUGCCGAAAUAGCCCAUACCAUGUGCCACACACGGUCCAGCACAUGGUCUGUCACAUGGCCGUGUGGCGUUGAUAGUGAACUUUUUCGGCUUUCGUCGAUUGCAUUUUUUUUGUGUUUUUGAUAUACACCUGAGUAUUUUCUGAUGUUGAUUCAAAUACGAGUAAUCUCAGAACCUAAAUUUACAAUUAACCCAACCAAUUUCAAUAAUUAUUCGCGAAAUCGUAACUAAUAAUCGACCCCAAUCAAACUAAAACAACCCUUCAUGACACAUCCACACACUUACCGAUGAACGAACGGCUACUACAAAAAUUCUAAAUUGCUGGAGAGUUACCC